Molecule: ribosomal RNA, 450 nt
Filed under: uncultured bacterium
Lineage: Bacteria
Description: bacterial SSU rRNA
Rfam family: Bacterial small subunit ribosomal RNA
Source: RNAcentral
GUGGGGAAUCUUCCGCAAUGGGCGAAAGCCUGACGGAGCAACGCCGCGUGAGCGAAGACGGCCUUCGGGUUGUAAAGCUCUGUUAUACGGGACGAAUGGCUAGUGUGCCAAUACCACAUUAGAAUGACGGUACCGUAAGAGAAAGCCACGGCUAACUACGUGCCAGCAGCCGCGGUAAUACGUAGGUGGCAAGCGUUGUCCGGAAUUAUUGGGCGUAAAGGGCGCGCAGGCGGUUUCAUAAGUCUGUCUUAAAAGUGCGGGGCUUAACCCCGUGAGGGGACGGAAACUGUGAGACUGGAGUGUCGGAGAGGAAAGCGGAAUUCCUAGUGUAGCGGUGAAAUGCGUAGAUAUUAGGAGGAACACCAGUGGCGAAAGCGGCUUUCUGGACGACAACUGACGCUGAGGCGCGAAAGCCAGGGGAGCGAACGGGAUUAGAAACCCGAGUAGUCC